RNAcentral lists this ribosomal RNA (460 nucleotides) under uncultured bacterium. Its description in RNAcentral is "partial 16S ribosomal RNA". It matches the Rfam family "Bacterial small subunit ribosomal RNA", at positions 338 to 795 of the family's 1533-position model. The record is from RNAcentral.
CCUACGGGCGGCAGCAGUGAGGAAUAUUGGUCAAUGGGCGGAAGCCUGAACCAGCCAAGUAGCGUGAAGGAUGACUGCCCUAUGGGUUGUAAACUUCUUUUAUAUGGGAAUAAAAUGUUCCACGUGUGGGAUUUUGUAUGUACCAUAUGAAUAAGGAUCGACUAACUCCGUGCCAGCAGCCGCGGUAAUACGGAGGAUCCGAGCGUUAUCCGGAUUUAUUGGGUUUAAAGGGAGCGUAGGUGGAUUGUUAAGUCAGUUGUGAAAGUUUGCGGCUCAACCGUAAAAUUGCAGUUGAAACUGGCAGUCUUGAGUACAGUAGAGGUGGGCGGAAUUCGUGGUGUAGCGGUGAAAUGCUUAGAUAUCACGAAGAACUCCGAUUGCGAAGGCAGCUCACUGGACUGCAACUGACACUGAGGCUCGAAAGUGUGGGUAUCAAACAGGAUUAGAUACCCUGGUAGUC